AAAGUCCCGCAAGGGGCAAGUAGAGUGGCAAACGGGUGAGUAACACGUGGGUGACCUGCCUUCGAGUGGGGGAUAACGUCCCGAAAGGGACGCUAAUACCGCAUGACAUCCUGCCUUUGGAAAGGCGGAGAUCAAAGCCGGGGAUCGCAAGACCUGGCGCUUGAAGAGGGGCCCGCGCCUGAUUAGCUAGUUGGUGGGGUAACGGCCUACCAAGGCGACGAUCAGUAUCCGGCCUGAGAGGGCGGACGGACACACUGGGACUGAGACACGGCCCAGACUCCUACGGGAGGCAGCAGUGGGGAAUUGUUCGCAAUGGGCGCAAGCCUGACGACGCAACGCCGCGUGGAGGACGAAGAUCUUCGGGUCGUAAACUCCUGUCGAGCGGGAAGAAUGCUUCGCGGGUGAAUACUCCGCGAAAUUGACGGUACCGCUAAAGGAAGCCCCGGCUAACUCCGUGCCAGCAGCCGCGGUAAUACGGGGGGGGCAAGCGUUGUUCGGAAUUACUGGGCGUAAAGGGCUCGUAGGCGGCCAACUAAGUCAGACGUGAAAUCCCCAGGCUUAACCUGGGAACUGCGUCUGAUACUGGAUGGCUUGAAUUCGGGAGAGGGAUGCAGAAUUCCAGGUGUAGCGGUGAAAUGCGUAGAUAUCUGGAGGAAUACCGGUGGCGAAGGCGGCAUCCUGGACCGACAUUGACGCUGAGGAGCGAAAGCUAGGGGAGCAAACGGGAUUAGAUACCCCGGUAGUCCUAGCCCUAAACGAUGAAUGCUUGGUGUGGCGGGUAUCGAUCCCUGCCGUGCCGAAGCUAACGCA
Molecule: ribosomal RNA, 810 nt
Filed under: uncultured Bacillota bacterium
Lineage: Bacteria; Bacillati; Bacillota
Description: bacterial SSU rRNA
Rfam family: Bacterial small subunit ribosomal RNA
Source: RNAcentral